AACGAAGGAGAUGAUGUCUUUCUAUGUGAAUAUGAGUAUGAUAUACGCUGGCGUAGUUUCAAGCGCAUCGCAGAGAUU
RNAcentral lists this small nucleolar RNA (78 nucleotides) under Olea europaea subsp. europaea. RNAcentral describes it as "Small nucleolar RNA snoR28". It matches the Rfam family "Small nucleolar RNA snoR28". Rfam says of the family: R28 is a member of the C/D class of snoRNA which contain the C (UGAUGA) and D (CUGA) box motifs. Most of the members of the box C/D family function in directing site-specific 2'-O-methylation of substrate RNAs. Lineage: Eukaryota; Viridiplantae; Streptophyta; Magnoliopsida; Lamiales; Oleaceae. The record is from Rfam by way of RNAcentral.